GGUGUGCAGAAUCUACUCCAAAAGUGACCCGAGAGCCUCAAAAAUGAACACCCCAGUCUCCCCACUGCUGCUCCUAUUUCUGAGGGCAUCCUCCCUCCGGGCAUCCUAAGACAUAUGCGGCCGGAGAUGGGUACUGGCGGUUUGGCCUCGAUGGACGGGACUACCUCACCCUGGACUCCACAAUGCUGACUUGGACGGCUGGUGACACCGGAUCCUUACCUGGCAAGGAAUUAUGUGAUGCAGACAGGAGCUAUACAGAGGGAAGCAAGGACAUUUUGGAGCGGACAUGUCCCAACUUACUCCGGCUUGCUUAUUUGCAGCAAAACAAUAAAAGCCUGUCAUGAGACUAAACAGAGCUUGUUGAUGUGCAAGUGCUGUCUUUGGUCAUUAUUUUUAACAAAGCUACACAAGCUUUGUGUACAGUUAGUGUUUACUGUCCUUCCCCACUAGAGUGUGAGCUACUCUAAGAUGUAGUAGUGGGCUUUUCCCUCACAGGUUGUAUAGUGCAUACUGCUUGGUGUAUAAAUAAAUCUCUCUGUCCUAUUUGCA
Molecule: long non-coding RNA, 549 nt
Organism: Ornithorhynchus anatinus (platypus)
Lineage: Eukaryota; Metazoa; Chordata; Mammalia; Monotremata; Ornithorhynchidae
Exons: 2
Source: RefSeq, a predicted model, not a curated record